UCUUAAGUGUUUCAUUUUGUCUUCACCUUGAAGUCUUUUCUGUGCACUUGCCCAAUACUAGGCCUCUUCUCGGGAUAAAUCCAGAGUGUGAGGAAAAUAAAGCGAAAGAAUUUAUGCACCAGGAGAUGGCAAUGGUGAUCUACAAUAGCAUCAAUCUAGCUGCGCAACAUUCAUAUUGUCUUCAGGCAAGCAAACAAGCCCAGUCUUCUAUGAGCGAAGCCUGGACACAUCGCUCCAUUUCUGCUCCUUAUCCUUGAGUUGUUCGGGUUAUUACUAAUCACUGUCAAGAGUUCUGCUUUAUUUUUUAUUGAAAUUACUGUUCGUGGUAGUAUUUUUUAACGAGCCGAUGUGUCUAAAUCAGAUCUUCUCUCCCAGUAUUGCAGAAGCUGUGAUGUCAUUUAAAAAAAAACACCAGAAGACAGAUACUAUUGAAUUAAACAUGCCAGUUGUCGAGGGAAGAAGAAAAAUCAAAUUAUCCUUGGAAGUCAGUGCCUGGAGGUGGAAGCUUCUGCUUUAGAUGCUGUUGUGAGCAGCAUUCUUCCAAAGCCUGCUCAGAGACUAUUGGCUCUCAAAAAGAGCAUGGUGUGUCUGUAUGUGUGUGUGUUCUGUGCUGGAACCGACUUACAGAGACCAUAAUACGGCUUUCCAGGUAAGUGAAAUGUUUAAGGAAUGGUUUUACUAGUUUCACUCUACCAGUCAGUUUUUAUGGCCAUACUGGGGAUUUGAACCCUGUUUUCCAGAGUCUUAUUCCACACUGUAUCCAUUACACCACACUGAGAAUCUAUUUAUUAUUUAUUUAUUCAACUUCUAUACCGCCCAUCUAGCUACCAAGGCCACCCUGAGCAGUGCACAACAUGAUUAAACAAAGUAAAACAAUCUAAAGUAAUAUGCGUUACUAAAUGACCUAAAUAAGUAUCUACUUCUGGCUGUUGUGACUAGUAAGAUGACUUCUCCU
Molecule: long non-coding RNA, 955 nt
Filed under: Pogona vitticeps (central bearded dragon)
Lineage: Eukaryota; Metazoa; Chordata; Lepidosauria; Squamata; Agamidae
Description: lncRNA (ENSPVIG00000009533.1)
Source: RNAcentral